AACGAACGCUGGCGGCAGGCCUAACACAUGCAAGUCGAACGCGCGUAGCAAUACGCGAGUGGCGCACGGGUGAGUAACACGUGGGAACCAACCCAGAGGUUCGGAAUAACCGCGGGAAACUGCGGCUAAUACCGGAUAUCCCCUACGGGGGAAAGAUUUAUCGCCUCUGGACGGGCCCGCGUCCGAUUAGCUAGUUGGUGAGGUAAUGGCUCACCAAGGCGACGAUCGGUAGCUGGCUGAGAGGACGACCAGCCACACUGGAACUGAGACACGGUCCAGACUCCUACGGGAGGCAGCAGUGGGGAAUAUUGGGCAAUGGAGGCAACUCUGACCCAGCCAUGCCGCGUGGGUGACGAAGGUCUUCGGAUUGUAAAGCCCUUUCGGCGGGGACGAUGAUGACGGUACCCGCAGAAGAAGCCCCGGCUAACUUCGUGCCAGCCGCCGCAGUAAU
RNAcentral lists this ribosomal RNA (451 nucleotides) under uncultured bacterium. Its description in RNAcentral is "bacterial SSU rRNA". It matches the Rfam family "Bacterial small subunit ribosomal RNA", at positions 29 to 524 of the family's 1533-position model. The record is from RNAcentral.